UGGAAGCGCACCAUCAUUAAUUAUACACUGAGUUUGAAUGUCAUCUCCAGUCACGAUAUUCCCAACUGUGCGCAGGGCAGGAAUGAGGACUGAUGGUGAAGGAUGUAAUAGGAGCUGUACAAGCCGUCCGCAGACACCUGCCUCGAUCACAGCUUGAAUUUUAUCAUUAGUACCAUCGGAUAGAUAAGAGAGUGCCCAGCAGGCAUCCGUAAGAACUUCUUCAUCAUUUGAGUGAACUAGGCGCUCAAGAGCUGGAAGAGCUGGCUUUACCUGGUCAAAUGGAGGUUGUGGCUUGCCCCUGCAGA
RNAcentral lists this unclassified non-coding RNA (305 nucleotides) under Hevea brasiliensis (rubber tree). The record is from RNAcentral. Lineage: Eukaryota; Viridiplantae; Streptophyta; Magnoliopsida; Malpighiales; Euphorbiaceae.